Long non-coding RNA from Metopolophium dirhodum (rose-grain aphid), 746 nucleotides. RefSeq lists it as uncharacterized. The transcript is spliced from 3 exons. Lineage: Eukaryota; Metazoa; Arthropoda; Insecta; Hemiptera; Aphididae. The record is from RefSeq and is a predicted model, not a curated record.
AAUAUGUUUUAACAUUUAACAUUAGAAACAAAUAUAAGAGUAACAAUAUUAUGAAAUUAAUUAAUAUAAUUUACUUUUUAUAUUUCAAUAUUUGUUAACUUUAUAAUAGUCAAUAUUUAACACUGAUAAACUGAAAUAAUCACCCACUAAUCAAAAUAAUCUGUUGAACACAAUAAUUAAACUAAUAAAUAUAUGUUCAUAGGUGUGUGCACGGGUGUGGCUUAUUGAAGUAUUGACUAUGGACAUCAAAACCAGCUAAACAUAUUCAGUUUUUAGAAUGUGGAAAUUCAUAGAAGAUGGUUCCAGAAAGGAUACAUUUAUUUCAAAACUGCCCAAUAUGUUUUACACGCAGUGUUAUAUGAUUUAAAUCCAAGACUUAUGAGUAUUAUUAAACCAAUAAAUAACAAUGAUAUUAAUUUAAAAGUACUAAAAUGUAUCAUGCAAAAUUCCAAACAAUUAUGUACUUAAAACACACAAUUCAUACAAAACAUGCCAAGCUGAUGACUAGAUAUUUCAAAGGUAGGUACCAAUGAGUAAAAUUAUAAAUACUCACUCUCAGUUCUUCUGAAAAACCCUUCUUGGCGUUCGCGAACGAAUAACAGCCCUUCUUUAUCAAAUUUAUUAGACGGUUGUUGUGCCAAUGUGAUCAUCUCCUGUUUGUUGAAACGCAUUUCAUUUGUUGGGUCUAAAAAUAAGAUGAGUCAAAUGUUGUGCAUGAAAAUCAUACUUGAAUACUUACCGACUAA